Molecule: ribosomal RNA, 305 nt
Filed under: uncultured bacterium
Lineage: Bacteria
Description: partial 16S ribosomal RNA
Rfam family: Bacterial small subunit ribosomal RNA
Source: RNAcentral
ACAGCAGUCGCCACGGUAACACGAGGGGGGCGAGCGUUGUUCGGAAUUAUUGGGCGUAAAGGGCGCGUAGGUGGCUGGAUAAGUCUUGUGUGAAAUCUUCGGGCUCAACUCGAAGUCUGCACCGAAAACUGCCGGGCUUGAGUAUGGGAGAGGGUGGUGGAAUUCCCGGAGUAGCGGUGAAAUGCGCAGAUACCGGGAGGAACGCCGAUGGCGAAGGCAGCCACCUGGUCCACUUCUGACGCUGAGGCGCGAAAGCGUGGGGAGCAAACCGGAUUAGAGACCCGCGUAGUCCCUGUCUCUUAUAC